This is a long non-coding RNA of Candoia aspera, 636 nucleotides long. RefSeq lists it as uncharacterized. Lineage: Eukaryota; Metazoa; Chordata; Lepidosauria; Squamata; Candoiidae. The transcript is spliced from 2 exons. The record is from RefSeq and is a predicted model, not a curated record.
UUGGUUCAAGAACUGUGGGGCCCGGAAGUUACUAACCAGCAGUUCUGAGGGUGUCUUCCCACCUUUUGUAGAAUAAAGUGAUUUCUGCAGCUUCUCCAGCUGGAAGAGAUAUUAUACCUGAGCGGCAGAGAUGCAGGCUGGCUGGUGGAAGAUGGUCCACAGGACACUCUGAUAGCAAGGCGGGGUUGUCAGUGAGCCAUUGUAGCGGUAGUAGUGACCCAGAUGCGCCGGGAGCAGCUCUCGCACACUGAAGGGUGCAACUGUGACUUCUUGCUCUGGUGAGUUUAGGAGUUGGGAAACCAAAAAGAGAAAGCCAGAAUGGCAGCCCAGUGGCAGAGGGAGACCGCGUCCAGGGUUGGCUUUGGGACCCCCUCCAUUGUGCCCCUUUGUCAACCCCGGCCUGUGGAAGGACAGUGCCUCAAGGCUUUAUCAGGCCAAAGGACUGUCCAGUCCGGUCCAGCCUCCCAGCUCCAAGAAGCGCCUCCCUCCAGAGCAGCUCCCCAGCUGAUGGGCUUUAAGGUGUUUGCUUCUGAGAUGCUGGACUAGCAGAAAAAUCUCACUACUGAGAAUCACUGCUUUGGGAAUUUAAAAUCUGUUUUCCAGCAUUUCUUCCAGAAAUUAAAGGUCCUGAAUGUU